CUUUACCUUUGGCUUGUCUUCAGAACUAGAAACAACUUUUACAUUUUCCACUUUCCUUUCACAUUCCUAUGAUUUCCGUCUUUCAACAUAGCUUCAUCAAACCUCCAUAAAUGCAUCACAUUCAUCCAUCUUCAACAACGAAGGAAAUACUUUAAUGCCUAUUUUUUCUUCCGACUGUUAAAAGGUUAUAACACUGUUAUUUUCAUAUAUGAUGCACUUGUGUUGAAACUUUGGAUGUGAUUCAUUUUCUGAAUAAAACAAUUUUACAUUUCGUAGAUGGUUCAUUAUGUUUUUUGAAUUCACUCCCAUGUUUUGUUGUUGUCGUAGUUCAGUAGUCAAUAAACUCAUUUGUGAUAAACUAACUGCAUGUUCAUACUCAUAUGUGAUGAACUAUCUGUUUGUUUACAUUUUCAUGUCGUUUUCUUAUAUCAGAUACAUUUCUUUGUGUUGUCAUAGUAGUUUUGUAUUAAAUAUCCGGUCUUUUAAUUAUUUUUUCCAACUUCGGAUGUGAUUCAUUUUUUGAAUAGAACCAUUUUACAUUUCACAAAUGUUUCACUGUUUUAUGUUAUGUCAUGUUUUACCAUGAUUUUCAUAAUGUUCUUAAUCAUUCUUCUGACAUAUUAAUGUUUAUGAGAUUACAUCAACCGAAAAUCAUGUCCAAGCCACCAAUUCUUAUCAGUGCAUUGAGACCUGAUCAAAAAGUAUGGAAAAUUGUAAUACGCGUUACUGAUCUAUGGGUAGUGAAGGAGCGCAACGGACAACGGCAUGUCGAAGCUAUUAUACAUGAUUCCGAGUUGUUACUUUUUUUGUAUUUCCCAUUAUUUAUUUGUUGAAUCCAAGUUUAACAUACUAAUAUAGAUUCUUUUCAAUGGCAAGGGACACCAAAUCCACGUGUGUGACCAUGAGUUGUGAACUUGAGUUGUGGACGCAAACAUUAAAAAAGCAUCACACAUAUAAGGUUUAUAACGAAGAGUCUCAAAUUUAUGAUCUGUCAUUGAAAGUAUGUGACAACAAGUCCAAAAUAUUUUUUAAUGGGACAACCGCAGUCACAACCAUUGACAUGCCUGGCAUACCACUUCAUAACUUCAAUUUCAAGCCGUUAGGAGAUUUUUUGAAUGAAGACUUUGAAGUUUACAGCUUAUACGUUGUAAGGUCUCAAACAGGCGGGUGUGGCAAAAAGGCUCGCAUCAAUGUUAUACUCUCCGAUGAAUGUGGAGCUGAACUAGAUGUCACACUUUGGAAGUUGUACGUAAAUCAACUUUUGGCAUACACAAAAGAAAUACCCCCCCCCAGUUGUGAUACUCACCCAUGCUUGGUGUCACCAAAGUUCAUCCACUAGGAAGCUCGACGUUUGAAAUGCUUGGAAUGGAUCGAAAUUGCUCCUCAACUAUGAUCAUCCCCAAGUCACUGAAUUCAAAUCGAACUUUGAAGAUGGCAAGCCAUAUCUGAUUGCUUCGCAAACACUGUCUGUCAAUUUUGGAUCACAAGCAGCUUUUGAAGAAAGACCAUUCUCCUUUAUUAAAGAUGUCAAAACUAUUGGCCAAAUCAUUUCUCUUAAGGAUAUCUGUUAUUAUUCUUACUAGACAUUUAAUAUUACAAUAUUUUGUUAGUUAUAUCAGAAUACAUAUUCUUUAUGACAUUGUUACUGUUUCUAAUAUGUUACUUUUUGCAAUACUAUUGGUAUGACUAAAAGGUUCAAGGCUAAUUGUUUUGACUGGUAUUAUGAAGUUUUUCCAACAUGUAACAAGACCAACAAAUCACCCGGUGAGUCUUUUCAAUGUGACUGUUCAGAUAACAAGCCUCCCCCAAUCACCAAGUUCAAAAUAGAAAUUGAGGUUGAACAUGAUAACAAGAUUGGAAAUUUCUUCUUUUGGGAUAAGGAAUGUAUCCCCUUGAUUUGUAAAUCAGCUCAUGAUUUACGACAAAUUAUGGAAAAGGUUGGCAUCUUCAAGCAGGUGGUUGCGGCUCGUGGAGUGAAGUUUUGUAGAGGAAUAAUAGCAAUGAUGAGAUAUGCAUGGAGCCCACUGACUCAAGUUUCUGGAAGAACCUUGUGAAGCUUUGGCCAAUGUUGAAUGACACUUGAUUGUGGAAUAUCGAUAAUGGUGAAUCAGUGGAGGCGUGGAGAACAAGUUGGAUUACAUCGGGUAUCAAAAUCAUUGAUCUGAAUCUUCAUAUCCUAUCCACGAUCAUGAAUGCUAAAUUCUCAGAGCUUGUUGACAAUGAAGGUGACUGGAACUAGAAGUGUUUGAACAACUUGCUCCCUGAUGAUUUAUUGAGUAGAAUAACAAGUAUUACCCAUACUUGUAAAGAUAUGGGUUCUGAUAUAAGAAUAGCAUUAGCAGAGAUGAACAAGAGCUUUAAUGUUGGAAGUAUGUAUCGAGCUAUUGCAGGGCAGAAAAAUGAUAUUGGGGAUAAUAAUUGGAAAAUAAUUUGGAAAAUCCAAGCUCCUGAGAGAAUUAGAUGCUUUACGUGACUGGCAUGUUAUGAUGGAUUACUUACAAACUGGAAAAAGAAUUGUAUGAGGAUAGGUAGUGCCAUGUACGCCUUUUGUCAGGAUGUGGAAGAGGACGCUCUACAUGUGCUAAGGGAUUGUCAUAUGGUUAUGCCUCUUUGGUUUUCCAUUAUUCACAUAAAUGUGAGAGUUACAGGAAAUAUAGAUCAUUGGAUCAAGAUGAACCUGAGUAGUAAUAUGGAAUGGAAUGAACAUGAAGAUUGGAACGCCUUUUGGGUUACACCUUGUUAUAGCCUGUGGAGAUGGCACAACAAAGAGAUCUAUGGUGAUAACUUUAAUAGACCUUAUUGUAUGGAGAUUCAUAUAAGAAUGAUGGUAAGUGACUAUGAUUGUGCAAAAUUAGCUUCUAAAAUCAUUGUGCACCAUAAAGAGAAGUUUAGGUAGUCCGAUGGGAUUAUCCUCCUUUAGGAAGGGUUAAAUUGAAUACCAACCGGGAAAAGGAUGUUAAAGGCAAAGUAGGAUGUGGAGGUCUUAUUCGAAGAAAUGAAGGGGAGUGGUUAAGAGGUUUCUCCCAUAGGAUUGAAAUUUGUAAUGAGUAUGUUGCAGAAUUAUUGGGAGGUUGAAACUUGCUACUAGGUUGGGAUUCAAGGCUAUUGAAAUCAAUAUUGAUUCCCAACUAGUAGUGAAUGCAAUUAAAUCUAAGGAAUCUUGUAGUGAUAUUAGGAAGAGUCUCAUCACCAAAAUCAAAAUAAGAAAAUUUUGUUAAAGCAUGUGCAUAAAGAAGCAAAUUCCAAUGCGGAUGUUUUAACAAAUAAUGACAUUGAUCUCCAUGAAGAGCUAUGUUUCUUUGUAGUGUGUCCUACUUUUGUUAAUCAUCUCUUUUAAGGUGAUUUGAUGGGAAUCUCUAUUCCCCGAUUAAUCCCGGUGUAAUCUUUUUCUUUUGGUCUUUUGUCCUCCUUUAUUCAAAAAAAAGUUG
Molecule: long non-coding RNA, 3428 nt
Organism: Lathyrus oleraceus (garden pea)
Lineage: Eukaryota; Viridiplantae; Streptophyta; Magnoliopsida; Fabales; Fabaceae
Exons: 7
Source: RefSeq, a predicted model, not a curated record